RNAcentral lists this long non-coding RNA (12000 nucleotides) under Salvia miltiorrhiza (redroot sage). RNAcentral's name for it is "long non-coding RNA (SMIL_LNC006842)". The record is from RNAcentral. Lineage: Eukaryota; Viridiplantae; Streptophyta; Magnoliopsida; Lamiales; Lamiaceae.
UGCCAAACUCCAGUCCACCUUCCAUAUAACUGGGCAGAGGGAUCUCAAUAGCUUGUUUAGCAUCUCUUCAUUCAUAUACAAAGCACAAUCACCUGUGCCAAUAGGUGCAAGCUGUCCUAACAUGAUAUUCUCAGUUACACCCCUGAGGUAAUCUGUUUCUGCAUACACAGCAGCAUCAAGAAGAAUGUCCACUGUUUCUUCAAAGGAGCAUCUCAUCAUGGGGCCAGUAUCGUUGCGAUUGAUACCAUGACGGGUGAUGGCCAUCAAGUGACCACGAUAUGUCAUGGUAUCACACAAUAUAGCCAAAUGUCUAUAGUUCACGUAAGACCCAUCAAAUGAUAUGACAACACGCAACUCAUCCAGCAAGGCUUUGCGAACUGCCUCAAUGCCAAGAACUUCAAUAACUUCAAUCAAAUGAUUGCUUGUUGUCCUACUUGCAUCUACAUCUUCAUGGCAAAUUACAGCUAAAAGAUUAACACCUUCGGUGUCAAGCAUCCACUCAUUCUCAGCCUUGAAGCCUUCAUUUUCAUCAAACUUAUUUACCUUGCCAUUCUUUAUGAACACCUUAUUGAUAUCUGGUAUGCCUCGAAGAGCCAUUUCUGUAAGCAUGUUACCCUCAAUCUUUUUGAGGAAGACAUCAUCCUCAGCAGAUUCAUCAUUCAACUCACCUUUAGGGGCUUCAUCAUUCAUAAUACGAAUACGAAGGAUAAGCUUUUCAGCAUUAUCAUCAUUAAAUAUGCACGUUAGAUCACUAUCAAAUUCAGCAUUAAUCUUAUGGGAAAUAUCAGCCAUGUUGAGUUUCUUAUCCACCAUCAUUUCUCUGUUUAACUCUAUGCGAAGCAACCACGGAGAGAUCUUGUCGGGGUCAACAUCAUCAUCUGGCAUCUCAAAGUAGGACGUCACAAAUUCAACAUCUUCCUCAAUAAUAGUGCUCUUAGGAUCUGGAUCGUACCAUACCUCUGUUGCUUGUGUUACACUCCGCAAGGUUGUAUACUCCAGAGCGCACUGGACAUUUUUGGCCUUCUCCUUAGUUUUGCUUACACCAGGCUUCAAGUAUACCGAGAGNAGGUAAUCUGUUUCUGCAUACACAGCAGCAUCAAGAAGAAUGUCCACUGUUCUCAAAGGAGCAUCUCAUCAUGGGGCCAGUAUCGUUGCGAUUGAUACCAUGACGGGUGAUGGCCAUCAAGUGACCACGAUAUGUCAUGGUAUCACACAAUAUAGCCAAAAUGUCUAUAGUUCACGUAAGACCCAUCAAAUGAUAUGACAACACGCAACUCAUCCAGCAAGGCUUUGCGAACUGCCUCAAUGCCAAGAACUUCAAUAACUUCAAUCAAAUGAUUGCUUGUUGUCCUACUUGCAUCUACAUCUUCAUGGCAAAUUACAGCUAAAAGAUUAACACCUUCGGUGUCAAGCAUCCACUCAUUCUCAGCCUUGAAGCCUUCAUUUUCAUCAAACUUAUUUACCUUGCCAUUCUUUAUGAACACCUUAUUGAUAUCUGGUAUGCCUCGAAGAGCCAUUUCUGUAAGCAUGUUACCCUCUAAUCUUUUUGUAGGAAGACAUCAUCCUCAGCAGAUUCAUCAUUCAACUCACCUUUAGGGGCUUCAUCAUUCAUAAUACGAAUACGAAGGAUAAGCUUUUCAGCAUUAUCAUCAUUAAAUAUGCACGUUAGAUCACUAUCAAAUUCAGCAUUAAUCUUAUGGGAAAUAUCAGCCAUGUUGAGUUUCUUAUCCACCAUCAUUUCUCUGUUUAACUCUAUGCGAAGCAACCACGGAGAGAUCUUGUCGGGGUCAACAUCAUCAUCUGGCAUCUCAAAGUAGGACGUCACAAAUUCAACAUCUUCCUCAAUAAUAGUGCUCUUAGGAUCUGGAUCGUACCAUACCUCUGUUGCUUGUGUUACACUCCGCAAGGUUGUAUACUCCAGAGCGCACUGGACAUUUUUGGCCUUCUCCUUAGUUUUGCUUACACCAGGCUUCAAGUAUACCGAGAGAGAGGGUGUUUUAAUUUUCUUAGCAACAUUAAUAAUCUCCCUCAACCUUGGAACACCUAAAGUUAACAAUUCUUGGCACUCACACCAGCAUAGUGAAAUGUAUUGAGGGUCAUCUGUGUAGCAGGUUCACCAAUGGAUUGUGCAGCAACACAUCCUAUCAUUUCACCAGCAGCAACAAGUGACUGAAGAAAACGGGAUUCUAUCUCGCCAACUACCCAGUCAAAAGCCUCACGGGUAAGUCUGUACUCCUUCAGGACCCUUUUACUUGCUAAAGCACUACGAAGCAAUAUAUUGAAGAAAAGAGUAGCAUUCUUCUGUGCUUCCAAACUCAGAUAAUCAUCACCAACAACCACCUUAAGCCUUUCUUGUAACUUAUCAACAGCUUCUACAAUCUCCAUUGGAUGCAUAUCAGACGGUCUCCGAAAAUCAACUCUAAAGGUCUUCUGUGCAUUCAAAACAAGCCUCUUGAUGUUGACAGGGAGGGGCCAAGAAUUGUCACCCGUGGUGGCAAUCUCUGUUCCAAGUUGAUACCUAUCGGCUUCAAGUUUCUGAACCUCUGCAUCAAACACACUGCGGAUUUCACGAAUCGUUUUCAGAUCUUCCACAGCUUCAGGUAACAUAUAAUUAGGAUUCCAGUUUGGGUGAUCAAUCUCAUAUUUGUACAUGUCAUUGAAAUCCGAUCUCUUCAACUUCAGUGAUUCCAAAGGCUGUGAUUCAAUCCAAACUGCAUCCAUACCAUCUUCCCCGUACAGAAACUGAAUCACAUCACCUAACGAAUUCCUAACAGUCCCAUCAUACUUAACCAUGAUAUCUUCCAUAGCCUUCACCAAUCGCCUCUGAAUAUAUCCAGUCUCAGAAGUUUUCACUGCAGUGUCAAUAAGACCUUCCCUACCACCCAUGGCAUGGAAAAAGAACUCUUGAGGAGACAAUCCUCGAAGAUAUGAGUUCUCCACAAAACCACGACUCUCUGGACCAUAAUCAUCUUUGGUGAAGUGUGGAAGUGUGCGAUCCACAAAACCAAAAGGAAUUCGCUUGCCUUCAACAUUCUGCUGACCCACACAUGCAGUCAUCUGAGAAAUAUUGAUGAAACUUCCCUUAGACCCUGCAGUGACCAUAGCUUUGAGGUUGUUACUUUCUGCCAAGCUCUUCUGAGCACUGCUUCCAGCAUCAUCACGAGCCUUAUUCAACACCUGAAGGCACAAAACAUAUAUAAGGGAAUCACCAGGCUGCAGCAAGGAAAUCAAAAUUUUUAACAAACCUGGUUAACUCUGUUCUCGAACGAUUCCAUCAUUGUUCUUCCUGGCUCAGCUUCCAAUUGCUUUUCUUGUGCAGCCCUGAUAAGUUCAUUCACCUCAUUCUUAGCUUUGUUAAUAGUUUCAGAGAUCUUCGUCAUUGUAUCAUGAUCAGCAAUUGUAUCUCCAAUUCCCAUGCUAAAAGCGUUCUGCAAAAGCCAAUAAUUGACCAGCCAUUGUGUAUGUCCCAAAAAUUUCCGAGCUGCAUCUGGACCGACUUCUUCCCUGAGACCAGUAUACAUUAUAUUAAACACAUAAAUAUGAAUAAAGAAUCUUUCGGGCUUUCAGUUCAUUAUUAUAAUAUUUAUUACUCCUUGUUUCAUGUGCCAUAUCAUAUGUUUUGAUGUCACAAAUGCUAUAAUAUUCACACAGAAGAGCUACUAGAGUGGAGGAAGACUGAUAUAUGCAAAAGCUAAAUUGUUAAAGAGUACAGAAAUUUUCAAUAAGAUACUCAUGUAGUUUUAAACUUCUGAAGAAAAUUAAUCUUCUCUUCUACAAAUUCCGAUGGAGUAAGCAAAGGAACACUUUCUUGAAAUGGCAUUAGUUUUAUUGAUAUCUAUAAUGAGUGCAAGCAUGGAGAUUGAUAAAGUGUUUUGUCUGCAAAGAAACAGUACCCAUUUUUUUGUGCCAAAAGGAGAAUCUUUUUGCUAGUGAAAAGAGAGGGUAUUUCAUUGGUAACUCAAGCAAGUUCUUUUGAAAGUAUUACUUCUUCAAUCAACAUAUUGCGAGUUCUGACUCAUUUGCGAGAUCCUAGAAUAUAUAAAUAAAAGACACCAACUUCAUUUAAAGUAUUUGCAUACAUAUGCUCCCAAUCCCCAUUGCCCAUAGAGCAAUGGACCAAUUUAAUACAACAUGAAUUCUUCAGAAGAUAAAAGUGAAAGUCAUGCUUUUGCUCUUAAAUUUAAGGUUGAACGAAAAAUGUGACCCGCAAACAGCCCCAUACCUCCAUUUUACCCAACUUUCCACUUAUUACAUUUUGCUACUAGAUACUUCAGGUAUGUUACCCGCAAUCAGCCCCAAUUCAUAAUAUGGAUAAGUUGGGUGGGCGUUUAGGAGACAAUAGUUUCCUUUCAAAACCCACCAAAUGCAGAAAUGGUACUGCAAAAAUUCCAGAAAGAACGUACCAAAUAACAUGUAUGAGACUUCCACUAGAUGACCCGAGUGUUUUCUUGCAUAGGGUGCCUGAAAGUAACUCCCCUUUUUCUAUCCGUACUUGAGUAUCCCCAGGAGUAAUAAAUCCUUUUUCAGUUUCUUGAUGCCAUGAAGAAUACCUUAAUAGAUUUAUCUGUCUUGGAAUGAUUAAAUUAAAUACUUGUUUCCCAGUCCAAAGAGGCUUAGGUUUCAGAAUUGUUGGAGCAGGUACUUUGCCAUCAAAAUCCUCCCACCACAUAAGGAUGUUCAUAAAAACAUCCUGCGAACAAUACAGACAGCGAUAUCAGAUUGAAUGUGGACACUUACCUAAAAAUUACAUAAUGAUGACAGAAAAUCAAAUGUUACCUUGUCAAUAAAAGUAUCUCUCUUAGUGAUUUUGCGACAUCCUAGUAGUGUAUCCUGCACAAUACCCAUUACAGGUCGAUUUGAUUGAGGUGACACGAUGCAUUUUGGAACCAUCAUUAAUUCCAGAACUUCGGCUCUAGUUUCAAAUGACUGGGGCACGUGCAUAUUCAUUUCAUCUCCAUCAAAAUCAGCAUUGUAGGGUGAGGUAACAGACAGAUUUAAGCGGAAUGUUGAAUAUGGCAUAAUCUUGAUUCUGUGGCCCAUAAUGGACAUCUUAUGGAGACUCGGUUGCCGAUUGAACAGGACAAAGUCUCCAUCAUUUAAAUGUCUCUCAACCUGUACCAUCAAAUAAUAGGAAUCAGGUGUCAAAAGGAAUCCAAUGCUUGAUCAUUCUCAAUUAUAUAGCUGGGAGUCUCACCUUAUAUCCAAGUUCUAGAUGCUGAUCACUACUCUUUUUCAAGUACCGGAGAUCAAGCCUCUGUCCAUCAUCCCUAAUAAUAUAUUUUGCGCCAGUUUUACCAGGAGGGGGAUGAGGUCCAUAUUCCACAAGCUCUUUCAAUCUAUUUUCAAGGUCAAUAUCUGGUUAACAAGAAUAACCAAAAAGUAUAGAGGGAUCACUAUCAAGAAAUAUGGUAAGAGUGCCUAACCUUUCGAUGUUAUAUGGAGUUACAGUUUCAGGAUAUGUAAGAUUUAAGGCAAUACUCCAAGGCACACCCAGCUGGUCGAUGUUGAUUGUUGGGUCAGGUGUAAUCACAGUCCGAGCCGAAAAAUCUACUCGCUUACCCAUCAAGUUACCUCUGAUCCUACCAUCUUUUGCCUUAAGCCUGCUACAUAUUGAUUUAAUGGGUCUGCCAGAUCUUUGGGUAGCCUGAUGUAUACAAGGAUACUUCACUUGUUAGAUAAAUGAUGUUCCAGGAACUGCAUCCACAGUCUCAAUAUACUGAAAUAAUAUAACAUACUCUUGGUUGACCAGGUAAAUCGUUAUCAAAGUAUGUAGCCACAUGGAACUGCAGCAACUGUGCAAACUCAGAGAUGAUGUGUGCAGGAGCCCCAUUCCGCUCCUGCCUCUUUAAGUUCUCAUUAUGCCUAAUGAUCAUGGCCAGUUGAUGAGUUAAAUCAUCCUGCAUAAAUUGAUUCAAUUAUUAGAUUCUCCUGCAACUUAAAAGCAGCAAUCCGAGGAACAUGCAAUUGAUUGACUUGAUCAGUUUGCAGUGAACAGAACCCGAUACACUUAUCUGACCUAAAGGAACAAUUAGGGGUAAUCUAAACACCCAUGACAUUGUAGAGAUCAAAAGGAGAAGUCAUGCCUCACUCCGAGAAGAAGUAUCCAUCAUUACAGAAGGCCUAACUGGAGGAGGAGGGAUUGGAAGAACUUGAAGAAUCAUCCAGUCAGGGCGAGCAUAUUUUGGAUUCAAGCCCAACAACUGACAAUCUUCAUCAGUAAUUCUCUUCAGUAUGCUGAGCACCUGAAACAAAAAGGAAAUAGAGAUUGUUGGGAUUAGCGCAUAAAUCAAUCUAUCACAUUAUCCAGGCUGGAAAAAAAAGUUUGAAUCCCUAUUCUCUGGCAAUUUAUGAUAUAUGAUACCUUCUCUGCAGAGAGAAGUUGUUUUCGUUCAACAGGUUCAGGCAUCUGGUCCUGGUCAUCACUUUUCUUCUUCUGAAUCUUGUAUUCAGCAACCAUUUUCAUCCCAUCUAUAGAAAUCUUUGGCUGCUGAGCACCGCAUCCACCCCUAGACUUCUUCACAGGUUCUUCCGAAUCUUGACCUCGCACAUCGAUCUCAUCACCUCCUUCACAUUUGGAUUUGUUUUUGCAGGCAUCUAAUAUCUUCUUUAAUCUAUUCUUAGGGUUUCUAAUUCUCAUUGCUUGCUUGAACUUGGGAUCGUCCUAGAAAAAUUAACAAGGGAUCAAAAUACAUUGCAAAAGAAAACGAUUGUUCCAACUUCCAAGUAACUUUAUUUCCAUUUGAAGUAUAAUAUUCAGGCAAUAAUGAAAAUAACUAACUUUUACAACAGCAACACUCCUAGGAGAUGCAUCCAGAUGAUGAAAUACCUCAAACUGCUUCUAUCUUACCAAUAUGCAUUUCUAUAAAAGUAACACAAUUAUUGAAGACAUAACAGAACCUAGAAGCCUAAAACUGGAUCGUUGCUAGUCAUAAGUCUUACUAUCCAGUCACUCUUGCAAGUAAUAAGAAUGUUACAAUUAAAUCAGUUGCCCAGUUCAGGAUGGUCAUGAAUAAGACAGAAGUCUGACCCUCCUAGUAUACGAACAUAUACAUGAAAUAAGCAUUUUCCGUGAAUCCAGCAUAUGUUAUACACUUCUGAAAAAUUCAGUCUGCUACUCAGGCCUCACAACAGCGGAAUCAAUAGUCAUACCCAAUAUGAACCAAGUGAGCAUGACUGUACAAAUUCAUACUACUUAAACCGAAAACGUCCAUAACUUCAAUCUAACUACUCGGGAAAUGUACAAUACCUCAUCCGCUAAAAUCUUAGAGCAAUUGAAGCAGACACUGCGGAGAAUACUGAGCACAGUCUUCAUGAAGCCAAUGUGAAACAUAGGUUUGGCGAGCUCAAGGUGACCGAAGUGACCGGGGCAGUCAGCCAUGUUCGCCAUACAAGUCUCGCACUUCAUCUUCCGAUCAAUCGUCCCCAGACGCGGGUCGCUCAAACCACCGAUCUUCGGCUUGCCUCUUUCCGUCGUCUCGCUGUGCUCUAUAUGCACAACAGACAUUUGUCUCUACAAAACACACCAUAAAACAAUAGACCAUCAUUUCCAACUCAAUCACACACUCAAUGCCGAAACUGAAAGUUCAAAACAUUCAAAGAAGUGAGAAUUACGAUCUCAUCGGGGCUGAGAAUGCCGAAUUGGACGACGCGGACUUUCGCGACCUCUGCCGGCGAGAAGGGGAACCGCAGAUCCAUUGCGACACCGGAGAUUCUACCCUAGGGUUUUCGAUUAUGAUUUAUUAUGCUAGCUGAUAUAUAAUAAUUCCAAAAUUAGAAACAAAUAUGGUUUUCAAGUACUUCAAAUUAUUCGCGGUUUCUGUUAAGUAACUGAUUUUUGGGGUUUUUGAAGAAAACUUUUUUCACGCUGCGCUCUUCUCUGAAGGAGGAGAGGCGGCUUUGAGACCAAAGAAGAGAAUGAGGGGUUGAAGGGGUAUUUAAAGAGAUGGAUGGCUUCGAAGUCGGCGCUUAAUGGGGUUGUUUGGCUACACAGUUAUGAGCUGGACAUCUUCCUCUCGUUUGGUCCAUCUAUUAAAAAAUCUUCUUAAUCUAUUUUUAAACAUAAUUUCAUCAACUAUUAUCCUUAUAAUUUUCAUUUUUUGUAAGACUCAUUUUUCACUUAUCAAGUAUACAAUUAAUUUUUAUUAAAAUUCAUGUCACCCUCCUUUAUAAAGAUCUUUGAGAAAUGAAGGGAGUGUUAAUUCCAAAUAUUUGGUAAAAUAAGUACAUAAAUACUCAUUUCGUCCCAACUUUUAGUAUCAAUUUAAGAAUGACACGUGUUUUAAUAAAGUUGUUAAGUGUGUUGUGAGUGGAAUAAGGGUCUCGCAUUUUACGUGAAUGUUAAAAUAAUUAAAGUGGAGUAAGGGUCUCACCUACUUUUACUAAAAAUAAAAAUGAAUAUCAAAAUAUGGAACGGCCAAAAAAGGAAAUAUGAAUACUAAAAGUUGGGACGAAGAUAGUAGUUUACAAGCUCUACAAAUAAGUUUCUACAAUUUAUAAGCUUUUCAAACUACAAACUUUUUACCAUAAAUUACUUUUUCAUAAUUUUAUACUUCCUUCAUCCCAAUUCNCUUAUAAUUUUUCAUUUUUUUGUAAGACUCAUUUUUUCACUUAUCAAGUAUACAAUUAAUUUUUAUUAAAAUUCAUGUCACCCUCCUUUAUAAAGAUCUUUGAGAAAUGAAGGGAGUGUUAAUUCCAAAUAUUUGGUAAAAUAAGUACAUAAAUACUCAUUUCGUCCCAACUUUUAGUAUCAAUUUAAGAAUGACACGUGUUUUAAUAAAGUUGUUAAGUGUGUUGUGAGUGGAAUAAGGGUCUCGCAUUUUACGUGAAUGUUAAAAUAAUUAAAGUGGAGUAAGGGUCUCACCUACUUUUACUAAAAAUAAAAAUGAAUAUCAAAAUAUGGAACGGCCAAAAAAGGAAAUAUGAAUACUAAAAGUUGGGACGAAGAUAGUAGUUUACAAGCUCUACAAAUAAGUUUCUACAAUUUAUAAGCUUUUCAAACUACAAACUUUUUACCAUAAAUUACUUUUUCAUAAUUUUAUACUUCCUUCAUCCCAAUUCAAUAGGCCACAAGACAAGGCUUGGACAUGGAUAUUAAGAAGCGAAUAGUUUAUAAUAAAAUACGAGAGAGAAAGUAGCUUUUUUUAGAGUAAAUUUGUGAAAAAAGUAGGAGAGAGUAGAGAUAAUUUUGUGGGAUCACAAUGAUAUUUGAUGUACAUAAUGAGUUGUGCGAAGGUGUUUGUUAUAUACUAUGAUUUUUUAUUUUAGGAAGUGACCUAUUGAAUUGGAACGUCCAAAUAAGGAUUCAUGACAUAUUUAAAUGGAACUGAGGGAGUAAUAUAUUUUACAAAAAUUAUUCAAUUAUACUUUAUUACUAUUUUCAUCAUAUACACUUUAAACCACUUUGCAAAAAUUAACUCAAUCAUAUAAAUACUUUCACAACUUAUAAGCUCUUACAAAAAUACAUUUUUAAAAUUUUUGAAACAUUUUAUAAAUUGCUACAAUUAUAAAUUUCUUAAAAUAAGCUUAUCCAAACAUCCCCUUAAUUCUACAACAAAAUUUUAACAAAUGGAGUAUAAAUGAGCUAUGAUUGGUAACAUAUUUUUCCUACAAAAAUAAUAAGCGAUAGGUAACAUAACUAGCGUGGGAACUAAGAAUCAAUCUGGUCUAUUAAUUUGAUUAAAUGAUCAUGAUUGAUUUCCAUAUUGAACAAUACAUAUAUAUGAUAAUGCAUCAGUUUAUGCCAGAAAUUAUGCCAUGCUGAUAAAUAAUACUCCAUUCGUCCCAAACGAAAUGUCCUAUUUCUUUUCGGUACGGAAAUUAAGAAAUGUGUAUAAAAUAGAUUAAGUGGGUUGGUGAAAAUUAUUUAAAUAUUAAGUAUAGAGAGAGAGUGUAGUGCCAAAAAAGGAAACAUGACAUUUCGUUUGAGAUAGCCCAAAAAGGAAAACAGUACAUUUCGUUUGGAACGGAGGGAGUAUAGUGCAUACUUAUAAUAAACAACGUAGUUUUAAGUGUGGUGCCCACUUCGGGGGAGCUUGUUGGAUUUAUAAUAAACGACGUAGUUUUCAUAUAUACAAAAAAUCCUCUUCCAUUGAGAUGGUUUCUUACAUUCUUGGCUUCAGCUGCGCAUGGCUUAUCUAUGCAUGCAUUAUUUUAGUUAUAAGCAAUUUAGUAAAUAAAAUAACAAAAUGGAUGGAUUAACAUUGCCACAAAACAUGAUGACACUAUUAGUAUUUUACUUCAAAGGGGAAGAAAAAAAAACUUUAUACGAAUGAAAGAAUGCCAUGUUAAACAAUCUCUCUUAGCCAAAUUGGAAAGCUAUGAGACCAAACAAAUGGACUACAAAUUAAAAAAGAGGUUAUAAAGUGACACGGGACUUAUACGCCACGUGCGGAGUUCAGCUGCCCGACUGCCGGAGUUCAGCUGCCCGACUGCCGGCCUGGUAUGAAAAUGAUUGGGUUAGGGUAGGGUGUCCCAUGCAACAAAUCCUCAUUCCACCUUCCCUUUGUCAGUUUCAUUUACCACACUAAGCCAUGUAAACAAUACCAACACAAUCACAAAAUCAGCAAAUCUAUUCGAACUCGCUUGGCCUAUGGUGAAAGCAGGAUGGAAAAGAAAGCAAAAUAAGCAAAGGUAAAUAUACCUGCUUGGACUGGAAGGAGAAAAAGAUGGUGAUGUUGGGCUGCAAAACCACAGAAAAUAAUAUGUCAAGGUAGCAUUUGAAAGAGAGUUUCACCAGUUCAGAAUAUAUCCUAGUCUUGUCGGGGAAAUAAAACAAAAAGAGUAAUACUCUAGGGAACAAUUUAUCCAGCUUCCUCUGUGGACAAUCAAGUAUAGAAACAGAGUAAUACAUUUAACCAAGGUUAUAUUUGUUAGCAAACUUGAAGAGCAAAAAUUAAAAUAAGGCUUGCCAAAAGUUACCUGAGACUCGGAGAAUAUGGACUGUACGGACUUGAAGGUGUGAUUUUUGGACUUGUAGGUGAAUAUGCUUGUGAAGGGCUAUACCUUGCUGAAGGAUUGUAACUUGGUGAGGUCAGACUGUAAGUCGGUGAGGUGGGACUGUAUCCAGGUGAAGUUGGGCUGUAGGCAGGAGAGGUAGGGCUGUAUGAAGGUGAGGUUGGGCUGUACGAUGGAGAGGUUGGGCUGUAAGAUGGUGAGGUUGGGCUGUAAGAGGGAGACGUGGGGCUGUAAGCCGGAGAAGUUGGGUUAUAAGCAGGUGAGGUUGGGCUGUAAGAGGGAGACGUGGGGCUGUAAGCCGGAGAAGUUGGGCUAUACGCAGGUGAGGUUGGGCUGUAUGCUGGAGAAGUUGGGCUGUAGCUCGGAGAUGUAGGGCUGUAGCUCGGAGAUGUGGGGCUAUAGCUAGGAGAUGUUGGGCUGUAGGAAGGAGACGUUGGUGAAUAAGAUGGGCUUGUGGGAGAAUAGGCAGGGCUUGUAGGACUAUAUCCAGGAGAACUAGGACUAUAUGUUGGGGACGUAGGGCUGUAACCAGGGGAAGUAGGACUGUACCCAGGUGAGGUGGGGCUGUAUCCAGGAGAUGACGGGCUGUACCCUGGAGACGAUGUAGGAGAAAACGCCAUCCCGCCCACAUACGGAGAAAACUGAGCAUCUGAAACAGGAGAUAACCGAAGAUUUGGGCUCAGCAUAUAAUUUGGUGACAUCAUGCCAUCAUGAUAUGGGGUCCCUGAGAUGGGUGAACGGCCAGGAGUCAUGCCAAACUCCAGUCCACCUUCCAUAUAACUGGGCAGAGGGAUCUCCAUAGCUUGUUUUAGCAUCUCUUCAUUCAUAUACAAAGCACAAUCACCUGUGCCAAUAGGUGCAAGCUGUCCUAACAUGAUAUUCUCAGUGACACCCCUGAGGUAAUCUGUUUCUGCAUACACAGCAGCAUCAAGAAGAAUGUCCACUGUUUCUUCAAAGGAGCAUCUCAUCAUGGGGCCAGUAUCAUUGCGAUUGAUACCAUGACGGGUGAUGGCCAUCAAGUGACCACGAUAUGUCAUGGUAUCACAC